GUAGUACAUAUAAAACAUUUCUGG
RNAcentral lists this non-coding RNA (24 nucleotides) under Arabidopsis thaliana (thale cress). Lineage: Eukaryota; Viridiplantae; Streptophyta; Magnoliopsida; Brassicales; Brassicaceae. The record is from RNAcentral.